RNAcentral lists this ribosomal RNA (206 nucleotides) under uncultured bacterium. Its description in RNAcentral is "partial 16S ribosomal RNA". It matches the Rfam family "Bacterial small subunit ribosomal RNA", at positions 568 to 774 of the family's 1533-position model. The record is from RNAcentral.
CGUGUAGGCGGUUAUGCAAGUCGGGUGUGAAAGCCCAGGGCUCAACCCUGGAAGUGCAUUCGAUACUGCGUAGCUAGAGUACUGGAGAGGAUGGUGGAACUCUCGGUGUAGAGGUGAAAUUCGUAGAUAUCGAGAAGAACACCGGUGGCGAAGGCGGCCAUCUGGACAGAUACUGACGCUGAGACGCGAAAGCGUGGGAGCAAACA